GACGAACGCUGGCGGCGUGCUUAACACAUGCAAGUCGAACGGAAAGGCCCUGCUUGCAGGGUACUCGAGUGGCGAACGGGUGAGUAACACGUGGGUGAUCUGCCCUGCACUUCGGGAUAAGCCUGGGAAACUGGGUCUAAUACCGGAUAGGAGCCAUUUUUAGUGUGAUGGUUGGAAAGUUUUUUUCGGUGUAGGAUGAGCUCGCGGCCUAUCAGCUUGUUGGUGGGGUAAUGGCCUACCAAGGCGGCGACGGGUAGCCGGCCUGGGAGGGUGGACGGCCAAAUUGGGACUGAGAUAAGGCCCAGACUCCUACGGGAGGCAGCAGUGGGGAAUAUUGCACAAUGGGCGCAAGCCUGAUGCAGCGACGCCGCGGGGGGGAUGACGGCCUUCGGGUUGUAAACUCCUUUCGCUAGGGACGAAGCUUUUUGUGACGGUACCUAGAUAAGAAGCACCGGCUAACUACGUG
Molecule: ribosomal RNA, 466 nt
Filed under: uncultured bacterium
Lineage: Bacteria
Description: partial 16S ribosomal RNA
Rfam family: Bacterial small subunit ribosomal RNA
Source: RNAcentral